AUGAGCUAAGACCGAAAUUAGUUC
RNAcentral lists this non-coding RNA (24 nucleotides) under Arabidopsis thaliana (thale cress). The record is from RNAcentral. Lineage: Eukaryota; Viridiplantae; Streptophyta; Magnoliopsida; Brassicales; Brassicaceae.